GUUCAAGUAGUUUAUAAAAAUUAGGAUCUGUGGAGUCUUAGAUGCAUCUAUGGUGCCUUGAACA
RNAcentral lists this transfer RNA (64 nucleotides) under Lepas anatifera. RNAcentral describes it as "tRNA-His". Lineage: Eukaryota; Metazoa; Arthropoda; Thecostraca; Lepadidae. The record is from RNAcentral.